RNAcentral lists this ribosomal RNA (245 nucleotides) under uncultured bacterium. Its description in RNAcentral is "partial 16S ribosomal RNA". It matches the Rfam family "Bacterial small subunit ribosomal RNA", at positions 524 to 768 of the family's 1533-position model. The record is from RNAcentral.
UACGUAGGUUGCGAGCGUUGUCCGGAUUUACUGGGCGUAAAGCGCGCGCAGGCGGUUCCGAAAGUCGGACGUGAAAGCUCCCGGCCCAACUGGGAGAGGCCGUUCGAAACUUCGGGACUCGAAGGCGGGAGAGGCAAAUGGAAUUUCCGGUGUAGCGGUAAAAUGCGUAGAUACCGGAAGGAACACCAGUGGCGAAAGCGAUUUGCUGGCCCGCCCUUGACGCUCAGGCGCGAAAGCUAGGGGAG